UAUUGGGCGUAAAGAGCUCGUAGGCGGCUUGUCGCGUCGGAUGUGAAAGCCCGGGGCUUAACCCCGGGUCUGCAUUCGAUACUGGCAGGCUGGAGUGUGGUAGGGGAGAUCGGAAUUCCUGGUGUAGCGGUGAAAUGCGCAGAUAUCAGGAGGAACACCGGUGGCGAAGGCGGAUCUCUGGGCCAUUACUGACGCUGAGGAGCGAAAGCGUGGGGAGCGAACAGGAUUAGAUACCCUGGUAGUCCACGCCGUAAACGUUGGGCACUAGGUGUGGGUCACAUUCCACGUGGUCCGCGCCGCAGCUAACGCAUUAAGUGGCCCGCCUGGGGA
This 330-nucleotide ribosomal RNA is filed under the name uncultured Streptacidiphilus sp. RNAcentral describes it as "bacterial SSU rRNA". It matches the Rfam family "Bacterial small subunit ribosomal RNA", at positions 552 to 879 of the family's 1533-position model. The record is from RNAcentral. Lineage: Bacteria; Bacillati; Actinomycetota; Actinomycetes; Kitasatosporales; Streptomycetaceae.